This 1373-nucleotide ribosomal RNA is filed under the name uncultured bacterium. RNAcentral's name for it is "16S ribosomal RNA". It matches the Rfam family "Bacterial small subunit ribosomal RNA". The record is from RNAcentral.
UUAGAGUUUGAUCCUGGCUCACGACGAACGCUGGCGGCGCGCCUAACACAUGCAAGUCGAACGAGCGAGAGAGAGCUUGCUUUCUCGAGCGCGUGGCGAACGUGUGAGUAACGCGUGAGGAACCUGCCUCAAAGAGGGGGACAACAGUUGGAAACGACUGCUAAUACCGCAUAAGCCCACAGCUCGGCAUCGAGCAGAGGGAAAAGGAGCAAUCCGCUUUGAGAUGGCCUCGCGUCCGAUUAGCUAGUUGGUGAGGUAAUGGCCCACCAAGGCGACGAUCGGUAGCCGGACUGAGAGGUUGAACGGCCACAUUAGGACUGAGACACGGCCCAGACUCCUACGGGAGGCAGCAGUGGGGAAUAUUGCACAAUGGGGGAAACCCUGAUGCAGCGACGCCGCGUGGAGGAAGAAGGUCUUCGGAUUGUAAACUCCUGUUGUUGAGGAAGAUAAUGACGGUACUCAACAAGGAAGUGACGGCUAACUACGUGCCAGCAGCCGCGGUAAAACGUAGGUCACAAGCGUUGUCCGGAAUUACUGGGUGUAAAGGGAGCGCAGGCGGGAAGACAAGUUGGAAGUGAAAUCUAUGGGCUCAACCCAUAAACUGCUUUCAAAACUGUUUUUCUUGAGUAGUGCAGAGGUAGGCGGAAUUCCCGGUGUAGCGGUGGAAUGCGUAGAUAUCGGGAGGAACACCAGUGGCGAAGGCGGCCUACUGGGCACCAACUGACGCUGAGGGCUCGAAAGUGUGGGUAGCAAACAGGAUUAGAUACCCUGGUAGUCCACACCGUAAACGAUGAUUACUAGGUGUUGGAGGAUUGACCCCUUCAGUGCCGCAGUUAACACAAUAAGUAAUCCACCUGGGGAGUACGACCGCAAGGUUGAAACUCAAAGGAAUUGACGGGGGCCCGCACAAGCAGUGGAGUAUGUGGUUUAAUUCGACGCAACGCGAAGAACCUUACCAAGUCUUGACAUCCCUUGACGAACAUAGAAAUAUGUCUUCUCUUCGGAGCAAGGAGACAGGUGGUGCAUGGUUGUCGUCAGCUCGUGUCGUGAGAUGUUGGGUUAAGUCCCGCAACGAGCGCAACCCUUACUGUCAGUUACUACGCAAGAGGACUCUGGCAGGACUGCCGUUGACAAAACGGAGGAAGGUGGGGAUGACGUCAAAUCAUCAUGCCCUUUAUGACUUGGGCUACACACGUACUACAAUGGCGUUAAACAAAGAGAAGCAAGACCGCGAGGUGGAGCAAAACUCAGAAACAACGUCCCAGUUCGGACUGCAGGCUGCAACUCGCCUGCACGAAGUCGGAAUUGCUAGUAAUCGUGGAUCAGCAUGCCACGGUGAAUACGUUCCCGGGCCCCUUGUACACACCGCCCGU